Long non-coding RNA from Cygnus olor (mute swan), 1161 nucleotides. RefSeq lists it as uncharacterized. NCBI's taxonomy places the organism in Eukaryota, Metazoa, Chordata, Aves, Anseriformes, Anatidae. The transcript has 2 exons. The record is from RefSeq and is a predicted model, not a curated record.
UCUUGAAAUCCCAUUUCAAACAAACAUUCAACUGCUCCUCUGACAGGCAACAGCCUCGUGGAAAAUGCUGGAUUUCCAAUCCGAAUUAAUCUAUAUUUUUCUUCAUAAGGAUUCCUGAAGAAAUUGAAAGUUUUAAUUACGUUUGCAAAUUAAGUAAACACUAAGAAGCUGGGUAACUGCACUAUGCAGCUUUAGUCGUUCAUGAGAAUUUUUUUUAAGUACAGUUUCAUUUACAACAUUUAGGCAGUAUAUGAAAGGUAUCUUAAGCUUAAACUUAAUUCAUGCCCUUCUGCAUUGAAUUUUGAGCGUUACAAGUUGGUUGCAAACUUUAGUUUGCACCUGAAGUUUAUAAAUACGUAUUUUGCAGUUGCAUCCAGCAGCACUCAGUCUGCAGUGACGCUUCAAGGCCCACCCCUCCCCGUAGCGCUGUAACUGCACUCCGCUUGAUGCUGGAUGAUCUCAGGCCCACCACAGAGGCCAUGCUACACUUCCUGGUGCUGGGGUGAAACUAGCGUGGUCUCUCUGCUUCCUGGAGAUCUGUUGGGCUUCCUCUCAGUUCCCCUCUUGUCUUCCAACUCUUGUAAACCUUCUUCUUUCGCUUCUUUAUGAUGAGUCAUCCCAGGACCCGUUGUGGCGUCUCCGCUUCUGACAGCGCAGCUUUUACAAGCGGCAGACAAACCAGGUACAGACCGAGAGGCUGCCCAUACAUCCUGAGGUGCCCACAGACAACACCAAGGUCAACUGGGCACACAUACCGCGGAGAUGCCCCUCGCAGAAACUCGGCUAGAAUUAACUCUUGACACUAACGUUGGCAAGUCGGACGACGAGGAAAGGAACAGAAAACGAACUUGUAACACCCUCUCCAUGCCUUUUAUAUAGGCACGGGACCAUUACUUUUGUCUGCCCUCUCAAAUUUAAAGACGUGUUGCUACGCUUCUAAGAUACGUACGCGAUCAAUUCAAGUAUAGCAUCUGCAAAUCGUGGAUUGUGGAAGUGCUUAAAGCAAAGUCAUGGAAAAAAAAAUAGAAAAUCAAGUGCCAACGUCCAACAAAUCGCUGAACAACCUGUGUUCCCAAAUGGAAGCUUAGUAUAGACUCCUGAUUUUUCAAAAAUACUACAGAAGUAUUUUUUUUCUUUAUUAAAUAGCACUUUCUCCUUCCA